Molecule: long non-coding RNA, 399 nt
Filed under: Anas platyrhynchos platyrhynchos (common mallard)
Lineage: Eukaryota; Metazoa; Chordata; Aves; Anseriformes; Anatidae
Description: lncRNA (ENSAPLG00000021098.1)
Source: RNAcentral
CAUAAAAGUGUGCAUCAUAAUGUCCCAAGUACUGUCAUAAUAAAGUCUAUUUGGCCUUGUGUCAUCUCUCUCUGGGAUUGGAUGAUACGAAAGAAACAGCGAAGAGCAGUUCAAGAUUAUAGCAGUACUUCCUGGGUAUAUGCUGCCCCCCACCCUUCAAGAUUAGUAAAUCAAGACUGCCUUGACCAGCGGAAGCAUUGUUAUACGUUAUAGCUCUUGUGAUUUUGAACAAGUUUCUGCUGCAUGAUGAUGCUGGGUUGUGGGCACUACUUUGAGACAUUGAAGAUCCUCACACUGGCUCCAAGCAAGAGGACAGAUGGCACGUGUGCGUGCGUAAGGCUCUGGAACAGCACUGCUGGUGUGAGGAAAGUGAAGAAAGCCAAACUGAGCUCAUGCUGA